GCCCCUCGCCGGAGUGCCGGGUGCAUCAUACAUUGGUGUUCCGUUGCUAGUGCUCGGCUGAGCAGAUAUUUUGUAAUAUUUUAUCAUCGAAAACCCUCACCGCUCAUUUCUUUCCUUUUUAUGCAUUUUAUAUUUUUCAUCAGUAGGAGUAUCUCGUUUAAUUUAUUUAUUUAUUUAUUUAUUUAUUUAUUUUAUUAUUUAUUUAUUUUUUUAGAAAUUGAAGUACAUAAAUCGGUCUAUCCGUUUAUAUCGGUUUCAUAAGCCUCUUCAAUCGUUCAAUGGUCAAUCAAUCAUGGUCAACACUCUUACACUUCUGACGAACGAAUGCCUGGUCGCUAGCUGCAGCUUCCCAUCGAUGUAGGCACUCGAUCUUCGAGGUUUUACUUCACCUGAUCUAGCCAUCGAACUCGCUGUGCUUCCUUGCUUCUAGUACCGAACUGAGUGCCGCUUUCGAACACCUUGCUGUUGGGGCACGAAUCUGGCAUCUUUACAACAUGUCCCAGCCAGCGCAAACAGCCAUGUCCGACGCGCCAUACGGCUUCAGUAAGCUCGUGGUUGAUCAUUCGCAUCCACACCCCAUGCUCGAAUGCACCGCUUAAGAUGAUCCGGAGGAUGCGUCGGCCGUCGUGUUUCGCCGCUGUCCUUUGCAUGCUAUAAAGUAACACACCUAUUCAUCGCAGCACGAGCGCAACGUGAUACAUCGUGACAUCAUCCGGAAAACUUGCAGCUGGCGCACGGUGGUGAUCUGAAGAUUGCCGAUUUCGGUUGGUCCGUGUACGAGCCGACCUUGUUCCGGUACGAAGCUGUGCGUUUCGCUCGACUAUUUAUCGCCCGAGAUGGUGCAUGGUCAGCCGCACAUAAAAACUUUCGAUCUAUCGAAUUUGGGCGUGCUGGCGUACAAGCUGCUGUGCGGUAAGGUCCCGGUUUUGGCGACCACGUAUGAUGAAGCUGCAGUUUAAGAUGCCGCCAGAUAUGACGAAGCCGGCGGCCCAUCUGAUCUCGCGACUGUUCGUUAAGGAUCUGGCCAGCCGUAUGCCGCUGAAACAUGUUGCGUUCAUCCCUGGAUUCUGCUGCACGUGCACAAAAAGUAAAUAGGAAUUGCUGCUACCAUGUACCAUAUAUUGUUAUGUUCUCACAAAGUAUGUUUAUAAGAUACCUGUACCUUUUAGUUUUUUAAACCCUAUCUCUUAUAAGAAGUAGUGGUAUUUGAAUUUAAUAUGAACAAGGCAAGUGUAAUGAUAAGUAAUGAUAAUUGUUAUUUGUGUGUUCACUCAAUUGUUAUUAUACUUUCUUCAUGUUCAGCAUAUGUUAUUAUUUCAAUUAUUAACAAUAAAAUAUGGCAAAAUAUUUUUUAAGCUA
Molecule: long non-coding RNA, 1359 nt
Organism: Anopheles gambiae (African malaria mosquito)
Lineage: Eukaryota; Metazoa; Arthropoda; Insecta; Diptera; Culicidae
Exons: 2
Source: RefSeq, a predicted model, not a curated record